RNAcentral lists this transfer RNA (71 nucleotides) under Ictidomys tridecemlineatus (thirteen-lined ground squirrel). RNAcentral describes it as "Spermophilus tridecemlineatus (thirteen-lined ground squirrel) tRNA". It matches the Rfam family "tRNA". From Rfam's summary of the family: Transfer RNA (tRNA) molecules are approximately 80 nucleotides in length. Their secondary structure includes four short double-helical elements and three loops (D, anti-codon, and T loops). Lineage: Eukaryota; Metazoa; Chordata; Mammalia; Rodentia; Sciuridae. The record is from Rfam by way of RNAcentral.
GGAGCUGUAGCUCAGUGGCAGAGCACUUGUCUAGUGCACAUGAGGCACUGGGUUGGAUCCUCAGCACUUCA